Molecule: ribosomal RNA, 301 nt
Filed under: uncultured bacterium
Lineage: Bacteria
Description: partial 16S ribosomal RNA
Rfam family: Bacterial small subunit ribosomal RNA
Source: RNAcentral
CAGCCGCCGCGGUAAGACAGAGGUCCCGAGCGUUGUUCGGAUUCAUUGGGCGUAAAGGGUGUGUAGGAGGCCAGGUAAGUCAGGUGUGAAAUCUCAGAGCUUAACUCUGAAACUGCGCUUGAUACUGCUUGGCUAGAGGAUCGGAGGGGGUAACGGAAUUUAUGGUGUAGCAGUGAAAUGCGUAGAUAUCAUAAGGAACACCGGUGGCGAAGGCGGUUACCUGGAAGAUUCCUGACUCUGAAACACGAAAGCCAGGGGAGCAAACGGGAUUAGAUACCCGCGUAGUCCCUGUCUCUUAUAA